GGGAAGAUAAUCCUAGCGGCGAUGGUAGCAGUCUGUAAAACUGUGACGUAAGAUACAACGAAGGUUCGAGUCCUUCUCUUCCCACCA
Molecule: transfer RNA, 87 nt
Filed under: Clostridium sp.
Lineage: Bacteria; Bacillati; Bacillota; Clostridia; Eubacteriales; Clostridiaceae
Also listed under: 1 other name
Description: tRNA-Tyr
Rfam family: tRNA
About the family: Transfer RNA (tRNA) molecules are approximately 80 nucleotides in length. Their secondary structure includes four short double-helical elements and three loops (D, anti-codon, and T loops).
Source: RNAcentral